AUGAAAUCUGGGAAAAGAACUAUGAAGAAGAAGAAGAAGCACAAGCAGGGGCAGGAGCACGAGAAACACCCUGCUGGGAGCCUUCCUGAGGGCCCCCUUAUCGAGAUUCUGUCCCGGGUGCCUUACAAGUCACUCUGCCGCUUCAAGUGCGUGUCCAAGCCGUGGCUUGCCCUCUGCUCCGACCCCGACAUCCGCAAGAGGUCACCCCAGACCAUGGCAGGUUUCUUCCUCCGCAACUAUGGCAUGCGCCCCUGUUUCAUUAACUUGUCCGGAAGAGGCCAACCCCUGGUCGACCCUUUUCUCUCUUUCUUGCGCGAGAGCUUUAAACUUCUCAUCCCCCAGCAUUGCUGCGGUGGCCUUGUUCUCUGCAAAUACUGGGAAUCAUAUUGUUUUGAGGAAGAUGAGUACAAUCUUGUCGUGUGCAAUCCUGCGACCAAGAAGUGGGCCGAGCUGCCUCCUAAUCCUAUACAAUUGCAAGAUGAAGACGAAGAAGAAGUCGAAGAAUAUUUGUGUUUCGAUCCAGCCGUCCCCUCCCGUUUCAUGGUAUUCACACACACUUGGGAUUUCACAGAAGUGAUAAUCUACUCAUCAGACACUGGACGAUGGACUACGGUGGAGAGUGGUUGGAUUGAUAAGACUCCUAUUGGUCUUCCUGUGUUCCUGAAUGGUACUUUGCAUUUGAUGACCACUGAAUAUUCAAUAAUCACAGUAGACACAGAGGGGAAGGUUUGGGGGCAAAUUGAUAUUCCAGGCAACAUGCGAGACAGCUCUGAUUAUCCGUUCAUUGGACAGUCUCAGGGACGAUUGUAUGCUUGGUGUAUAAAUGAUAAUGUUGAUGUUUGCCAACUUUUAGUUUGGGCUCUUGAGGAUUAUGGUGGUGCAAAGUGGGCCUUGAAGGAUACUGUUAACAUUUCAGAACUGUUUGGAAGGGAUCGUUACAAAUAUGUGGAGCCCUUAGCAAUUCAUCCAGAUUGUGAUUUGAUUUUCCUUACCGACCGGAGGGGGAAGGCUAUCUCAUAUGAUAUGGACAGCAAGAAAGUGCAUGUUAUCGGCACUCACGAAACAUUCUAUGGUGCUAUACCUUAUGUUCCAUGUUUUGCGGAAUGGCCGUCAGAUGGUCACUGA
Molecule: ribosomal RNA, 1125 nt
Filed under: Triticum aestivum (bread wheat)
Lineage: Eukaryota; Viridiplantae; Streptophyta; Magnoliopsida; Poales; Poaceae
Description: partial small subunit ribosomal RNA
Source: RNAcentral